RNAcentral lists this long non-coding RNA (252 nucleotides) under Daucus carota (carrot). RNAcentral's name for it is "long non-coding RNA (DCAR_LNC000426)". Lineage: Eukaryota; Viridiplantae; Streptophyta; Magnoliopsida; Apiales; Apiaceae. The record is from RNAcentral.
CUAUUACCUGUUUAUCUCAAUUGUAAAAUAUUAUAAUUUCAUGAAUUCAUAUCUCAGUCAUUGUUUUAGUUCAUUUUCAUGAGAUUAUAAUACCUUGUGAAAUGACUAAUGAGGUGUUAUAAUCUCAUGAAAAUGAAUUAAAUUAAAAACCAACAAAAUUAUAAAGAAAAUAAUGUAAGUUAUCUUAGGAUAUAAUCCUUCUAAACAAACAUGGCCUAAGUUUUUAACAGGCAUACCAAGUUUUGUUAUUAU